UACAAACACAAGCAUUUGACAGAAUACAAAAUCUUAGUUCAUCUAUACCUACAAAAGCACUUCUCAACCUCUAAUCUCUCCAACAUGGUGUUUUCCAAACGAUGUGCAUGUUUGGACUUAUGAUUUUCAUCAUCUCUGCUACAAACGCUCUUGUUGGAAGAGAAUCAUGUCAUGUCUCUCACAAUUGUAUCAAUUUAUGAACCUUCAUUUGCUCAGAUAAAACCUCCAAACUUGUAGAUGUGAGCAAUAUCUUGCAACCAUUAUGAUCUUCACCAAAGGGGGGGAUACCAAUCUCACCUAAAUCGAGUCUCCCACGAAGAUCAUACAGUACAACUAGGACUGUUUGCAGCUCUUUCAUCUUAGCACACAAAAGAUGAGCUCUUUCUGCAGUUGCCAUUCUUUUUCUAUUACCAAAAAACAUGCAACAAGUUGAUUCAGCUGGAUCCGUCUUAUCAUCAAAAUCUAUUGCAUCACCAAUUAGUGUUUGAAUCUUUGUAAUGUCUGGCUUCUUUGUCACAGUUGCUGUGACAAUCUUUUGGAAUAAUUGAUCU
This 551-nucleotide long non-coding RNA is filed under the name Medicago truncatula (barrel medic). RNAcentral's name for it is "lncRNA gene49170". Lineage: Eukaryota; Viridiplantae; Streptophyta; Magnoliopsida; Fabales; Fabaceae. The record is from RNAcentral.